GCGGCAGUGCUGGAAUAGGCAGACAGGCAUGGUUGAGGGCCAUGUGUAUGUAUGUACGUGAGGGUUCAAGUCCCUCUUGCCGCACCA
Molecule: transfer RNA, 87 nt
Filed under: Tissierellia bacterium
Lineage: Bacteria; Bacillati; Bacillota; Tissierellia
Description: tRNA-Leu
Rfam family: tRNA
About the family: Transfer RNA (tRNA) molecules are approximately 80 nucleotides in length. Their secondary structure includes four short double-helical elements and three loops (D, anti-codon, and T loops).
Source: RNAcentral